CAAUAGCGUAUAUUAAAGUUGUUGCAGUUAAAAAGCUCGUAGUUGGAUUUCUGGUAGGAGCGACCGUGCCGAACUUGAUUGUUCGAGUAUUGUGUUGUCUUCAGCCAUCCUCGUGGAGAACUUUUCUAACAUUAACUUGUUGGGAUUGGGACCCGCGUCGUUUACUGUGAAAAAAUUAGAGUGUUUAAAGCAGGCAUUAGCUUGAAUACAUUAGCAUGGAAUAAUAAGAUAGGACUUUGGUACUAUUUUGUUGGUUUGCAUACCAAAUUAAUGAUCAACAGGAGCAGUUUGAGGAUAUUCGUAUGAACAUGUCAGAGGUGAAAUUCUUGGAUUUUGAUCAGACGAACUACUGCGAAAGCAUUUAUCAAGGAUGUUUUCAUUAA
This 383-nucleotide ribosomal RNA is filed under the name uncultured eukaryote. RNAcentral describes it as "partial 18S ribosomal RNA". It matches the Rfam family "Eukaryotic small subunit ribosomal RNA", at positions 592 to 976 of the family's 1831-position model. The record is from RNAcentral.